UAAUUUAACGGAUUUUUUUUCCUUCCAAAUAUUUUCUUUUUUUUCUUCUCUGGUGGGGCUACCCGACUCGACUACGCUACACUUCCGGUGAAUAAGGUCAAUAUGCAAAACAGGUUAGCUACUUCCGACUAUGCUUCAUGCACGAAACAUCGCCAGGACCCAACCUAAAGUACUCAGUGCCCUUGGAGAGCAACCCCCAGCUCCAGAGACCCAGCACACCCCCGCCACCGCCUGUUCACCCUCCUGCCCUCUGCAAAGCCCUACAGGACUAUUUACCUCCACAUCCCCAGGCUGAGGAGUAGCUUCUGCCCCAAAGCCAUCAGUCAUCUUAGCCGAGCAGGGAACAGCAAACCCAAAUUACCCCCCCAACACCUCCAGGAGCAGUCCGUACGCACCCAUCUGCCAACCUGCCCCCCCAGACUACUGACUGUUUAUAGGGCUGCUAAUUCUAAACCACAUGACUGUUGCCAAUUAAAAAAAAAUUGUCUAAUGCUGCUGAAACAUAUGACUACACUUUGAUUCAGCUUCAUACUGUACAUCUAUACUGUACAUCACUUCUGAUUUACUUUCCUGUUUUUUAUUUCUCUUAAAACUUUGAUAGGAGGCACACAAUUUUGUUAUACAUGCACAAUGAUAAUAAAGAUAUUCUAAAUAUG
This is a long non-coding RNA of Brienomyrus brachyistius, 656 nucleotides long. RefSeq lists it as uncharacterized. The record is from RefSeq and is a predicted model, not a curated record. The transcript has 2 exons. NCBI's taxonomy places the organism in Eukaryota, Metazoa, Chordata, Actinopteri, Osteoglossiformes, Mormyridae.